This 458-nucleotide ribosomal RNA is filed under the name uncultured bacterium. RNAcentral's name for it is "partial 16S ribosomal RNA". It matches the Rfam family "Bacterial small subunit ribosomal RNA", at positions 338 to 795 of the family's 1533-position model. The record is from RNAcentral.
CCUACGGGUGGCAGCAGUGAGGAAUAUUGGUCAAUGGGCGCGAGCCUGAACCAGCCAAGUCGCGUGAGGGAAGACGGUCCUAUGGAUUGUAAACCUCUUUUGUCGGGGAGCAAAAGACGCCACGCGUGGCGUUCCGAGAGUACCCGAAGAAAAAGCAUCGGCUAACUCCGUGCCAGCAGCCGCGGUAAUACGGAGGAUGCGAGCGUUAUCCGGAUUGAUUGGGUUUACAGGGUGCGCAGGCGGAAGAUCAAGUCAGCGGUAAAAUUGAGAGGCUCAACCUCUUCGAGCCGUUGAAACUGGUUUUCUUGCGUGCUGGCGAGGCACUCGUACUUCCGUGUGUCGCGGUGAACUGCGUCGCUAUACGGAGGAACACCAGUGGCUACGGCGGAUUGCUGGACAGUACCUGACGCUGAGGCGCUAACGCGUGGGAGCAAACAGGAUUAGAUACCCCAGUAGUC